GGCGGGUUGCCCGAGCGGCCAAAGGGAUCUGACUGUAAAUCAGACGCGUAAGCUUCGCGUGUUCGAAUCACGCACCCGCCACCA
This 84-nucleotide transfer RNA is filed under the name Leucobacter komagatae. Its description in RNAcentral is "tRNA-Tyr". It matches the Rfam family "tRNA". From Rfam's summary of the family: Transfer RNA (tRNA) molecules are approximately 80 nucleotides in length. Their secondary structure includes four short double-helical elements and three loops (D, anti-codon, and T loops). Further hydrogen bonds mediate the characteristic L-shaped molecular structure. tRNAs have two regions of fundamental functional importance: the anti-codon, which is responsible for specific mRNA codon recognition, and the 3' end, to which the tRNAs corresponding amino acid is attached (by aminoacyl-tRNA synthetases). tRNAs cope with the degeneracy of the genetic code in two manners: having more than one tRNA (with a specific anti-codon) for a particular amino acid; and 'wobble' base-pairing, i.e. permitting non-standard base-pairing at the 3rd anti-codon position. Lineage: Bacteria; Bacillati; Actinomycetota; Actinomycetes; Micrococcales; Microbacteriaceae. The record is from RNAcentral. RNAcentral also lists the same sequence under 4 other names.